Molecule: long non-coding RNA, 509 nt
Filed under: Androctonus crassicauda
Lineage: Eukaryota; Metazoa; Arthropoda; Arachnida; Scorpiones; Buthidae
Source: RNAcentral
AUAAUUCCGUCGUAAAGCUAAAUUGCAGACGGAUAAAAUAAAAAAAAAGAAAGAGAACGCAAAACGAAAUUGGUCUGUCUAACAAUGUCAUACGUCAUGUCGGUUGCUUUAUUGGCAAUAAUCACAGGAUUUUAAUCUGAGGAUAUUCAAGUCGAAUCAAUCAGGACAUAUUAAUAUGUAAAUGAUUGUGACACAAUCCGCGCUACAUGACGAUCGAUUGUAUGAGGCACAUAUCCUUGAUUCCAAUGUCUGGUACCAGGUGCUCCGUCAUUGUUUCCUUUGCAAUCUCCUGGAUGAGAGGAGACAAUGGAACAUUGUCGGAAGAUAAAGGUUAUAUCGUUUCAUUAUGUGCAGUAUAUUCGCUAGUAGACACGCCGAAAUUUCUGCUUUUAAACUGGUUAUGUAUCAUUAAGACGAUUUGCUUUUAUCAAAAGAAUAACAUGUUUCCAUACUGAUUCUUUUGUCAUCUUUUUUCUGGUGCUUUAAAAGAGCUGCACGAAAUUUUCGAG